CAGCACAGCCCCAACUGCUGCACUAAAACUGGAACGAUACAGCAUGGCCCCUGUGCAAGGAUGGCACGCAAAUUCCUGAAGCGUUCCAUAGUUUA
RNAcentral lists this small nuclear RNA (95 nucleotides) under Patagioenas fasciata monilis. Lineage: Eukaryota; Metazoa; Chordata; Aves; Columbiformes; Columbidae. The record is from RNAcentral.